GACGAACGCUGGCGGCGUGCUUAACACAUGCAAGUCGAACGGAAAGGCCCUGCUUGCAGGGUACUCGAGUGGCGAACGGGUGAGUAACACGUGGGUGAUCUGCCCUGCACUUCGGGAUAAGCCUGGGAAACUGGGUCUAAUACCUGAUAGGAGCCAUUUUUAGUGUGAUGGUUGGAAAGUUUUUUCGGUGUAGGAUGAGCUCGCGGCCUAUCAGCUUGUUGGUGGGGUAAUGGCCUACCAAGGCGGCGACGGGUAGCCGGCCUGAGAGGGUGGACGGCAACAUGGGGACUGAGAUACGGCCAAGACUACUACGGGAGGCAGCAGGGGGGAAUAUUGCACAAUGGGCGCAAGCCUGAUGCAGCGACGCCGCGUGGGGGAUGACGGCCUUCGGGGUGUAAACUCCUUUCGCUAGAGACGAAGCUUUUGUGACGGUACCUAGAUAAGAAGCACCGGCUAACUACGUG
This 464-nucleotide ribosomal RNA is filed under the name uncultured bacterium. RNAcentral's name for it is "partial 16S ribosomal RNA". It matches the Rfam family "Bacterial small subunit ribosomal RNA", at positions 28 to 507 of the family's 1533-position model. The record is from RNAcentral.